CGUACACUCCUGCGGGAGGCAGCAGUGGGGAAUAUUGGACAAUGGGCGCAAGCCUGAUCCAGCCAUGCCGCGUGAGUGAUGAAGGCCCUAGGGUUGUAAAGCUCUUUCACCGGUGAAGAUAAUGACGGUAACCGGAGAAGAAGCCCCGGCUAACUUCGUGCCAGCAGCCGCGGUCAUACGAAGGGGGCUAGCGUUGUUCGGAUUUACUGGGCGUAAAGCGCACGUAGGCGGACUAUUAAGUCAGGGGUGAAAUCCCGGGGCUCAACCCCGGAACUGCCUUUGAUACUGGUAGUCUUGAGUUCGAGAGAGGUGAGUGGAAUUCCGAGUGUAGAGGUGAAAUUCGUAGAUAUUCGGAGGAACACCAGUGGCGAAGGCGGCUCACUGGCUCGAUACUGACGCUGAGGUGCGAAAGCGUGGGGAGCAAACAGGAUUAGAUACCCCAGUAGUCCCAUGA
Molecule: ribosomal RNA, 454 nt
Filed under: uncultured organism
Description: partial 16S ribosomal RNA
Rfam family: Bacterial small subunit ribosomal RNA
Source: RNAcentral